GAAAGCCGUUGCUUCCCUUGUU
RNAcentral lists this non-coding RNA (22 nucleotides) under Rattus norvegicus (Norway rat). The record is from RNAcentral. Lineage: Eukaryota; Metazoa; Chordata; Mammalia; Rodentia; Muridae.